This 109-nucleotide small nuclear RNA is filed under the name Castor canadensis (American beaver). The record is from RNAcentral. Lineage: Eukaryota; Metazoa; Chordata; Mammalia; Rodentia; Castoridae.
AUGCUCUCCUCAGCAGCAAAUGUACUAAAAAUUGAAAACAAUACAGAGAAGAUUAGCAUGGCCCCUGUGCAAGGAUGACAUGCAAAUUAGUGAAGCAUUCCAUUUUUUU